This 1041-nucleotide ribosomal RNA is filed under the name Smittium angustum. RNAcentral's name for it is "eukaryotic LSU rRNA". It matches the Rfam family "Eukaryotic large subunit ribosomal RNA", at positions 1 to 961 of the family's 3401-position model. Lineage: Eukaryota; Fungi; Kickxellomycota; Harpellomycetes; Harpellales; Legeriomycetaceae. The record is from RNAcentral.
CACUGAACUCAAAUCAGGUAAGAUUACCCGCUGAAUUUAAGCAUAUUAAUAAGCGGAGGAAAAGAAACUAACAAGGAUUCCCCUAGUAACGGCGAGUGAAGCGGGAAAAGCUCAAGCUUAAAAUCGGUUAAUUUGAAAUAGUUGAUCGAGUUGUAGCUUUUGAAAGCAGAUUUAGCUAUUAUUUAUGGUAAAAGUUCUUUUGAAUAAGACAUCAAAGAGGGUGAAAAUCCCGUCAUUGACCAUAAGAACGAUAAUAGUUUACAAACUGUUUUUCUUGAGUCGGGUAGUUUGGGAAUGCUGCCCUAAUUGGGAGGUAAAUUUCUUCCAAAGCUAAAUAUUAGCAAGAGACCGAUAGCAAACAAGUACCGUGAGGGAAAGAUGAAAAGCACUUUGAAAAGAGAGUGAAAAGUACGUGAAAUUGUUGAAAGGGAACCGGUUAGUAGCCAAGGUUUCUAAGUUUGGAAUUUCUGAAUUUGGAGGGUCAACAUGGGUUAGUUUUGUUGGAAAGGAUUUAAAGAAGGUUCGAAUUUGACAUUAGUUGAAUUUGGUUAUAGCUUUAAUGAACUGCAAUGGAAUUGACCGAGGUCGAUAGUGAGCGUAAGCGAGUUUUUGAUGUUUGAACUUUGGGGAGUUUUGUUAAACAGCAUGCUGGUUAAUGGAAUGUUUCUGGAGGUAGGAUGUUGAGAAACUAAAUCACUUUGGAUGUUGGCGAAAAGGCACUAAUCGACCCGUCUUGAAACACGGACCAAGGAGUCCAACAUAUAUGCGAGUAUGUGGGAGUAAAACCCAUAUGCGGAAUGAAAGUGAGAUAGAAUGCGACCUUUUUAAGGGCAGCAUCGACCGAUUUUUGAUAGCGUUGCUUGAAGAAAUUGAGUAAGAGCAUAUAUGCUGGGACCCGAAAGAUGGUGAACUAUGCCUGAAUAGGGUGAAGUCAGAGGAAACUCUGAUGGAAGCUCGUAGCGAUUCUGACGUGCAAAUCGAUCGCCAAAUUUGGGUAUAGGGGCGAAAGACUAAUCGAACCAUCUAGUACCUGGUUCCUGC